Molecule: long non-coding RNA, 32495 nt
Filed under: Eutrema salsugineum
Lineage: Eukaryota; Viridiplantae; Streptophyta; Magnoliopsida; Brassicales; Brassicaceae
Description: long non-coding RNA (ESAL_LNC001873)
Rfam family: Plant small nucleolar RNA R71 (bases 10276-10382)
Source: RNAcentral
UAUUCCUUCAUCUAAAUCGAAAUCAUUCAAAUUCCUCUGGGUACUUCGUUUCAAAUGUGCUUGGCUACCGCCUAGUCUAGUCCUAAAUCAUGAAUGAGCAUGUCACUAGGAACAGUCUAAAAGGACACAGUCAACUAUCAUUGAUUCAUGUUCACCAUUUCCUUUUAAAACGUAUUUUGUUUUGAAAACCGGUUUUGAAAAACUUUAAGGAAAAUGCAAAAAGUGUAGAUAAUGCAAGACUCAUGAAAGAAAAGUGGUUAGAAAGGGAUGAAAUCCUCCCCCAGACUUAAAUCACACUGUCCUCGGUGUGAAACAAGUCGAGAUUGGAUGAGAAAAUGCAUAGAUAAUCGAAUUGGUAAGGCAAAAGAGAACUUACCUGGAUCCGGGAUGCUGGUGGAGAUGAACCGGAUUCAUUCGAAGAAGUUUGGUAAGGUGAUAGGUGGUGAUGAAGGUGGUGGGAAGUGAUGAAUGAGGUGGAGUGGGGAUUGGUGAGGUGGAAUGAGGUGAAGUGGGUGGUUUGGGGUCGGGUUUCGUCUCAACGACCAUUCACCGCGGUCAGAGGUCACGUGACCGCGGUGAAGUGGUGCUCGGCCGCGGUCGAAUAGGUGUUUCCCGCGGUUAGAACACCUGCAACCGAGGGAGCUUAUAUCGCGGCCUGUUCCUGCUUCUCCGUGGUUCCUGCUGGGCCGAGCAGUCAGGGACCAUCCUUCUUUUUGGUUUUUUCGGUUUUUUUUUAUUAUUUUUGUUGCCUUUUUUGUUUUAUAAGAAACACCUGAAACUAAGAAGAAGAAAAAGAUCAAAAGAAAAAGAAAGAAAGAUCCUAAAGAAAACAAUACCUAAAUGGGUUGCCUCCCAUUAACCGCUUCUGUUUUAAGUCGUUUAGCUCGACUUUUGGUGUUGGACGUGGCUUAGUCCAAUGAAGAAGACCUUGUCCUGAGACAAGUCUUUUUUUACAUCUCCUUGCUUUUCCUAGCAGGUUCUAUCACUCCAAAGCUCUUCUUCAAACUCUUCUAUUGCAGAAUGUUUUCCUGCUUUGCUAUUGUAUGGGACAGCUUCUGUGAAGACAUUUUUGUCGAUAUUAGCAAACGAAAUUCUCCGGUUUGGCCAGUCCAUUAUAUCUCCAAAAUUUGCUAGAAAAGACCAUCCGAGAAUAACUGGAUGUGUUGCGUCUCUCGUUUCAACAGGCACAAUGCAAUCUCCUAUUCUCAAAGGAAUUUCACGAGCUAUCCUUGUGGCGUUGCAUUGGAAUCAUCAGCUAGACUAAUUCUUGCUCUAGUCCUGCGCAGGUGUUUAAUACCAAGUCUCAAAGCCAUUGCCUUGGACAUCAUGUUAAGACAAGCUCCAUAAUCACAAAGCACGUUUUUAAACAUUUCUCCUCUAAUAGAACAAGCGAUGAGAAACUGACCUGUAGUCUUGACCUUAUGGAGAAUUCGAACUUUCCUUUCUCUGUAGGUAUUGGUGGGUGUUUCAAACACAGAAUAGGACUCACAAAAGAAGGCUGCAGCGUCGUAUUCAAUGAUUGAAUCGAUGUAUGGCAUCUUUAUCUUCCUGCACAUCGGGUCUUCUUGGAUUGAAGAGUCAGACGAAUCUUCAACACAUUCCUUUGCCAUCAUACAAGGUAAUGAUUCCUGCCAAUCCGUUUCUUCAUCUGAAACUUUGUUUUCUUCUUCCUGAGUUGCUUUUUUAGGUGCUGGAGGUUAGAGUUGGGACAGAAGAUGUAUUAUUUUCCUUUCAAAUCCCGGAGUGAAUCUGAACGACCAACUCCCGCGGUCAGAGGCGUCGCGACCGCGGGAAAAGGAGCCUUGGCCGCGGUGGGAACGGUCGGACCCGCGGCUCCGGAUAUGAUUUGCUCAUAGUCCGCUUCUUCCUUCUUGUACUUGAUAUGAACCUCUCCAGCUUUUUUAUUUGGUAGACCAGCACUAUAUGAACUCACACCAGGGUGUUGUUGUGCAUCUUCAUCAGGAUCUUUGGGAGAUUUCUUAGAAAAUCUCACAAUUUGCUCAAUGUUGGGCAUCUGUUCCAUUCUUGCAUCAAUCUCCCGUGCCUUGAGCUCGAGUUUGUUCAGCCUGUGCUCGAUCUCCUGCAGCUCUUCGUCUGUCUUCUCUCUAUACCAGGAGGCGGAUUCUCUGACUUCUUUGAUCUCUUGCUUCGAUUCGACAAUAUCACUUGAGUUCUGUAUGAUAUCAUAUCCUUGUCUUGUCUGCUCUGUUGCGACUUGGUGGAUCAUCCCAGCUAGUGUUUGUGCGUCCUUCUGGGUUUGUUCUUCCAGAACUCGAACAUGAUUGGCCAGAUCAUCGAAUUUUCUGUUGAACUCUUCAGAAAUUGAAUCAAUUCUCUUGAGCGGGUGUUUUCGGUGAGAAUCUGCUGAUCAAGGAAUUGGUUUAUCAUUCCUUCGAGGCGUCCCAAACGUCUGCUGAUCCUCAAGUUGUCCUCUUGCUAACUAGGGUUCUACGGUGGAGGAUUAUAAGCGUGUGGCUCGAAGUAGGUCGGAGGAGGACCAUAAGGAUCUUCCCGGCGUCGAACAGACUCUCUGCGCCGGUGGUAUGGAUGAUUUGGCUGGCUGUAUCGAUCCAUGUAGCUAAGAUCUCGGGCUUGGUGUUCUUCUCUGCGUCUGGUUGCUUGAGGAGUGUUGUAGAAACCUUCCUCAUAGUAGGGAUUUCGAUUUAUAGGAUCCAUAUCUUCUAAAAUGGAAACAAAAUAACCGGAAAAUGGAAAUAUACAGAAAAGGGGUUCUAGAGUCGAUUUACCAACCUUUCUUAGGGUUUUGCGGAAAAGAAAACACGUGCCUUUCCCGGCAACGGCGCCAAAAACUUGAUGUGUGUCGUGUGUGAGGGUGUCAAAUUUUACCCUAAAUGAAAUCAAUAGCCGCAAGUGCACAGCUGAUCGAUUGUAGAACUUAGGGAUCGAAUCCACAAGGAAGAAGGAUCUUUCCUGCAAAAGCCUUCGAAAGAAAUAUAAUGUAGGGAAGUCUAGAACCAGGCGAGUUUUGUGAGGGUUUUGGUGGUGUGUUUAGAACGUAAAAUCAAAUCUUAAAGAGAAAAUACGAGAAUUAAAAUGACCUAAUAACUAAACUUAACGAAAACGAGUAAAAACAAGAAAAACGGCUAAACCUAAUUGCUUUAAUAAAAAUCGAUUGAAAGAGUAAAUAAACUAGACUAAAGUUUGAAUGCAAAUCGGUGUAAAUCUAUAAGAAAGAAAGCGCUGGGAUUCAAGAAGUUUUCUCAGGGGUAUGAACGAUUCAAAACAUUGCUAGAAAGUAAAUUUGAUAAGAUCUUAGCUUAAACUUUUCGAACUGUGAUAACUAAGGUUUUCAAGGCCUUAAUAAGGGUUAUCAAUCCCUUAGCUGUUUCAGCAUAAAGGAUAUCAAUCCAUAAGUGUGGUUGCCAGACACUAGUUUAUGUGAUAAACUCUUAAGUCAAGUGAUCAAAGAUGAGUUUUGGUGUGAACAAAGUAACAAGAAAGCAUAAAACAAGGAACAAGAAAAGCAAUGAUUAAUGAACUAAACAAGGCAACAAAACAAGAUGAUGGUGCUUAAGCAAAUGAUGGAAGAUAAGCCUCUAGGUGUGAUCAUUGAUUAGGGUGCUUUCAUUGCAAACUAAUGAUGCUAAACAACAAUGCAACACUUGCUACUCUUUAGACUUGGCUUCUUAAUCAGAUUAAUCCACUCUCAUGACAGAAAUCUCUUUGCAAAUCACUUAAUCAAGUCUAACAACCAUUCGAGAUAACCAAGCAAUCAACAAGCAUAAUGUUCCAAGCCUAAUUAGUGACCAAACAAUCUUUGACAAAGAAAGACUGAAUCUUAUACAGAAAGACAUAGCAAGAAAUUACAUGAUCUCAAAACCAAUUAACUUAGAACUCUAAACUAGAUUAAUCCUCUCAUGAAGGCAUUAACCUCUACACUAAUCCAUUUUGAAACCAAAUUCUCAUUUGUGAAAUAUGAAUCAAUGAGCAUUAAGAAACAGUUCUAAUAUGUCAUUCAUGCAUUUAACAAACAUCAUCAUGGCAUUAAUGCAUAAACCCUUAGUUAGCUUUCAUUCAGGCAUUUCAUCAAACACUUUUGUUGCAUGAAAAACCCAAAUUCUAGACCCAAGUGAUGUGCAAGGAUAUAGCAUUAGGAUCAGCUAACUAAGGAAAAGAUAAGAGAAUCUAAGCUUAAACAAUCAUUAAUCUACAUCUAAGCACCCUAAUUUACACACCUAAAAGCUUAAAAGAGAGACUACUCACUAAUCAUGAUGAACACACCAUUUCCUUUGCAAGAGGUGAUGUUGAUCAUGAUUAGAAGUUAAGAUGAGAUGAUGCAAUGAUAAGAAAAAGCUUUUAUAUGAUUAAAUCUGCAAGAUGUCUCUUAAUCAAAAACGUUUUUACACUGAAAAGGAAAGAAAACAAGAGAGAAACUAAGAGAGAAGAUAACCUCUUGGGGUUUUCUCCCAAAAAACUAUUUAUACUAAGGGUCUUGGACCGGAUCAGCCCAGAACAAACUGGGUACUGACCCGGCUUCAGUUGGGUCUGGUGGCUGGUGUGCGAGAUGGUCACGUCCAUGGCUGACCCGCACACUCAUCUCACAACAAAAGAAGCUCAAGACUCCUAGAUGGUCAAGUCCUUUAUCAGCCGCACAUCCAUCUAGCACUUCAUCUUGCAUGUUCUUGUGCGGCUCAGUUCAGCUCCUUCCCCACUCGCAAGACCAGGUCGCACACUCCAGAAUGUAUAUGUGAAAGAUGUUCACUUCCUUGUCCAAGUCGCAUGCCCAAGUCGGUGUAAUUUGCGAACACAUGUGCUACAUGGUUCCACUUCAUGUCCAACUCGCAGGCCUAUCUCGCAGGCCUAUCAGCACAGCAUUGUGGACUUACUCAAAUUUGAUUCUGGAAGUCUCUACCUUGCUCAGAGUCUCCUUACACUCAUCUCUAAAGUCUCAACUUAAUUCCAGAGCGUUGAACAUUCAUGGGUGCGAGUUAAUCAAGUCGUGGUACCGUAUCGCACAACCUAAGCCUUCUCGGACCACUUUGCAUUCAGGGGAGAGUAACUUCCAGGAUAUUGAUCCAAAUGGCAUGAUUUCAACUGAAUUGGAAAGAAAACUCAAAUAUCUCGAACUUUGGUGAAGGAAACCUCAGUUCUUGGGAAGUGGAAGGUUCCGCGGAGGGCUCAUCUUUGCAGUACAUUGACACGGUUAGAAAGAGGCUUCUAGACAUGAGUCCAUUCCGGAAACGUUAUCUUCUUGAUCAUAGCUCUAAAUUGAAUGAUCUAAAACGUUAUGGAAAGAGGACUCAAAUAUCUGAAAUCUUCAUGACGGAUCGGUAGACUGAAUCGGUCUGGAAGCGCAUCUUCCUUCGCAAUAUUCGGAGCUCAUUGGGUCGGUCCUGAAACUGUCGCGAGACAGGUGUAUCUUCUGGUGAGCUUAACUCUCAUUUCACGACUCUAAAUCCAAUGAUUCGACCUGUUCUGGGACCGUGACUCGAUCUCCAACUUUUGUGAAGGGUUCGGGUUCAGGUGACGUCGGCAAGGGCUCCGUUCCACCGGUUCUUUGAUGCGUGUUGCUUUGGUCCUUUAUCCGCUCCGAGACAUGUACUGCUUCUUAUUGCCGUACCUUUCAGCUCAAAACUGCAAAUAGGACGAUCUAAAGUGUUCGGGAAACUAGACUCGAUGCUUUGGAUUCUUUACGAAGACUCCAAAGGCUGAAUCUUGAUGAAAGUCCUCCUUCUCAGGUGAUCAAGUUGAGGGAUCGUCGGCUCCAUAACACUUGUCCGAGUCUGAUGCACAUAAGGUGAUGGUUUGUCCAUGGCUUUUGUCCCAAUUGCUCCCAACUAGCUCCAAAUGACCUGUAAACACUCCAAAAGUGCAAAAAUCUCUAGGACCUAAUGCAAUUCCUAACUAAAGACAAAAGCAAAGACAAAUAUAUGUAAAACUACCUAAAUGUAUGCAUGAGACUCAAUAUUUAGACAAAAAUGCAGUCCUAAACAAGAACAAAUGAGAGAGAGAGGUUGAAUGAAUGGAAGUUCAUAUUUCCUUUGAGAGAAGUGACCACUAAGAGAAUUCAAGUUCAUGCUCAAUAUGCAAUGCAAAACCAUACUUUGGUGUAUCAACUCAACAGUAAUCUCCACAAGUUCUCCUAUUCCUCAACUCUUUAACAUUCAUUAAGCUUUUUACCAAGUGGAUCAAAUGAUGCAUUGUUUAAACAAACAAAGUUUGGCUAGGGUGAGGUUAUGAGACUAAAAUGAUCUCAUCAAUGCCUGAGUGGGUUCAAUGCAGCAAAAUGAUCUCUCUAUGAAUGACCAAACUUUGGCAGAAUGCUAAAGGUAAAAGGCAACCUAUGCAUACAAGGGCAAGGACUCAUCCCACCCCACACUCUACUCAAAGUUUCCUCACUUGCUUACUUUUCACACUCCUUCUUCUCUCACUAGGGGAUUCACUUUUCCUUUUCAUACACAAGUCUUGGAGUUCAAACUUUCCAUAGCUUUUUUCACUUUCUUUUGUAACCUCUAACCUCUUUUUCUUUCUUUUUAAAAUAUUUGAGCUCUUUGGCUUCUUUUCUUUUCUUUUCACUUAGAGGCUAGACUAUUUCUUUUCAAAACACUAGAGCUCACUUUCUUUGACUCAAAACUCCAAGACUGAUUUCUUUUCUUUUUUUAUCCCCUAGUUCUCACCAUUCUCCUUUUAUUUCCACUCAUCUCUCCUUUUUCCACUCACCAACAAGUAUUCCCCCACACUUAGUUCUUGCCAAAUCUCUCAGCUCCUUGAUGAUGGAACUUAGCACUCAAUGAGACUUGCCCUUGUCGCCCUAAACCUAACACUUUAUGCUAAGUUUGGUCCACGGUGGCCUCUCAAUCACACACAAACAAUUGGCUUGAAAGAAGGAUGGGUUCAGGGUGAGAAAAACUGAUCUAUUAUGCAGAUUCAGCUAUUUGAGCUAAGGAAGAGGAUGGUAAAAACAGGAUUUUAGCUCAAAUAUGUAUAUUGAUAUCCACAAGCUUAUUCAAACAAUGCACCAAAUGAUAAUUUCAAGUCAAGUUCAGGGUUUUCACUUAUUAGAGUUGAGUUCAAUUCAAACUUGCUUCUCAGAUUCAAAUCAUUUCAAGCCUUGCAAGCACAGAAAUCAUUUCACAAGCAUAUUUGGUCCAAAUUCUCUAAGUGAUGUACUCUUAAGAAAAAACUAUCAUUACUCCCAGCAAGAUGCAACCUAUAUGAUGCAAGCUAGACUCAAUCCUAAAAUGUGAAUGCAGCUACAUGAACAUUUUUUUUUUGUGUUAGAAUUUUCAAAUAUUUCAAUUUUUUUUUUUUUUAUAUGCACUAAAUGCUAUGCAUGAUCAAAUGAGACUCAAAAAUGCAAAAGAGAAAAUAAGAACAUAGAAAACAUGAUUAGUAAACACAAAGCCUCUCCCCCACACUUAAAUAACACAGUCCCUUGUGUUAUAAAAGCAUGAGAAAGGGGAAAAAUCAAACAUGAAUUGCAAAAGAAAAAGAAAAAUGCUAAAUGCUCAUUUACAAGUGUUUGGAGUGAUACCUGGUGUGGUUCUUAUGCAAAAGGGGAGUGAGUAUCUGCACCAGAUGAGGCCAUACAUCACUGGAGAUGGGUUUGGCUUGGCCUGAACUCCCUUGUGCGACAUGGACUUGUCUUGGACCAAGUCGCACACCCAAGUCGCACAUAAAGCUUGGUGAAUGCAGUUGUGCGACAUGGGCUGCUCUCCUUCAUAUCUCGUACACCCAAGUCGCACAUCAAGCUUCGUGAAAGUUCUGGCCUUCUUUGUUGCUGCUACAUGGCCCUAGAAGACACCAACCCGCACACCCACGUAGGUGUGAUUUGCGAACAGGUGUGCUACUUGGAUCAGGGGAGAACUGACUCGCACACCCAUGUAAGUGUGAUUUGCGAACAGGUGUGCUAGAUGGGACCUGACCUUGUCCAACUCGCACACCCAAGUAGCACACGUGGCGGCUCACCAGUUUUCAUUCCUUAAGUCCUUCAUCAGCUUGUUCUCAGACUCCUUUUCACUUUGUCAUUGGACCACAGCAUCCCUAAGUUACCUUAGACCUGAAAACACUUCACAAAACCCAUCAAAAUAUCCUAAAACAUGAAAAAGAAGAGAAAAAAUUUAAAAAAGUUAUGUACAAGGAUAAGCUUGGGGUGUCUCCCAAGAGCACUUUAUUUAAAGUCACUAAGUUUGACUUUGAAAAACCUGUCUUUAGCUGGGGUGAGGUUGAGCACUGAUGCUCUUCAGCAUUUCAAUGGUCCUGAGCAGGAAAGAUGAGGAUGGCUGCCUUUGAUAACCAUUAGACCCUUGUCCUUGAUGUCCCAUCUUUAGGCCUUUGUUCACCAGCUCCUGAAUACCAUCUGGUCCUUAUCAAGUAUUGCCUUUGUGAGACCUGCCCUUACCUUAGCAAACAGUCCUGCUUUCCCAUUGCAAUCCAGCUUAUACUUCAGAGAUCCAUUAUCGUCAGCCCAAGGAGUCAGAGUAAAAUCUUGAGAAGAAGGGUCAGGUUCAAUGCUCUUAUCUUUUGAUGCUGAGCCAUCACUCAUGGUGUUCAUCAUCUUUUGAUCAACAAGUGUAGGAGACCAUGAGAGCAAGAUGUCUUCUUCUCUGAUCAAUGGCCCUCCAUUCUCAUACUUGUAACCAUUGGGGUGAGGGUCUCUCUCCUUCUCCAAAGCUGAAAGAGAUUGAGAUCCACCUAGAAUUCCAGCAGUGCCCACAUACUUCAUCUCAAGUACCUUAGGGGGUUCUAUUUCUUGAACAACUGAUCCACAAAAUUCAGCCAAACGAGGUGUAACAAGGUAAAAGACAUCCUUAUCCACCUUUGAAAGCACCACUCUUUGAGUAUCAAAGUCAAUCAUUGCACCAGUGGUGUUGAGAAAUGAAGUUCCAAGCAAUAUGGGGAGCUCUUUGGUCUUCUUCAUCUUCAUGAUCACAAAAUAAGUGGGAAUUAUGCAUUCACCAACCUGUAGUGGAUAGUUUUCCCAAAACCCAUAUGGUUUCUUGGAGUAGGAAUCUCCAAAGGUGAUAGAAGAAGCAUAGGAUGUUAUAGACUUGACCUUUAGCUUCUCCAUCAUGUCCUUAGACAUUAUACUAACACUUGAGCCUGAAUCACACAAAGCAUUCUCGACCCUAUAUAAAGUUUCCAAGAGUGCAUUGAAUUUCCCUGGAUUGCCUAGCUUUGGGAGGGAGGUGGGUUUCAUCUGAGUUGAUUCAGAGGUGGAGGCACUAUCUGUUGGCUUUGCUUGACCAGUUGGCAGCUCCUUUGUUUCAAUAGACACUGAAUCAUUCCCUUGCUGAACAGAAAAAACUAAACCGGCUGCCCCCACACUUUCAUUCUUAAUGUCCUCAUUGAGUUCAUGUAAGAAGCCCAUGAAAUCCUCUAUAAUGGCAUUCUCAUCCACAUGAGUUUGUGCAGGUUCACUAGAGACUUAGACCAUAGAGAAGGUCUUCUAUUUCUUGCACAGCAGCUGAAUGGUCAUCAUUGCAGUAGAUGGCAUUGCAGUAAUCUUUUGAGUUUUGAAGAGCUUUACCAGGAAGAGAGACUUGUGGUUCAGAAGUGCAGAUGCCCUUGUUCUUUUUAAUAGCCGUUAUUUCAGCUCCUAGUGUCUCCAGGUCGGAUACCAUCUUUUGUUGUCCUAUUAAGAGCUGUUGGAGAACAACAUUGAAAUCAGGACUUUGUUGAACAGGUGGUGGGGCAAAACCAGGAGGUGGUGGCCUUUGUUUCUGGAAGCUGAGUUGGUUAUUGAAGCUGUUCCCUUGUGGCUUAGCUGUUGGCUGCUGAAAAGCUUGUUGACCUUGGAAGUUACCUUGGAACUGAUUCUUUUGAGCAAAGCUUUGUUGACCUUGUUGGGGAGGGUAUACUUGAUCUUGGGGAUUGGCUACAUUGGUGCUUCUAUAAGACAAGUUCUGGUUCUUGUUGAAGUUGUUGUAACCCUGAAACUUGUUCUGAUUACCUAUGUAGUUCAGCUCCUCUUUUGUAAGGCCCACUUCAUUGAUGUUCUCAAAGCAACUCCUCUCUUGAGACUCACCUACAUAGUGUAUAGGCUUUUGAGUGGCAACCAGGGCUUUGUCAAGCUUGAUAUGCAGCUCUUUGAUCUUCUCUUCCAACCUUUGUUGGGUACUAGAGUCCUCACAUCUGUUGGCUCUAUCAAAGUCUUCUCCAUAGGUGUCUUGGCUCAUGGCUAAGUUCUCAACAACUUCCAUGGCUGCAGUGAUUUCUUUUGCCAAGAAAUUCCCAUUUGAUGCUGUGUCCAACUGAUUCCGGAUCUUGGGAACAGCUCCUCUAUACAAAGUGCUAAGGAGAGAGGCUUCUGAAACCCCAUGAUGUGGACACUGAUUUGUAUAGCUUCUAAACCUGUCCCCAGCUUCUCCAAAGGUCUCAUUAGAAUGCUGUGUGAAGUUUGAAAUCUGGUUCCUUAGCUUGGCAGUCCUUGAGCUUGAGAAGAACUUAGAUAAAAAGGCAAGCUUGCAUUGCUCCCAAGUUUGGAUUGAUCCUCUUGGAAGGUUCUUCUCCCACUGGUGUGCCUUAUCCCCAAGGCUGAAUGGAAACAAUCUCAGUUUGAACCUGUCUUCAGAUACCCCAUUGAUCUUCGUGAGAUCACAAACUCUGUCAAACUGAUCUAGGUGCUCCAAGGGAUCCUCCAUAGGUAAGCCAUGGAACUUCUGAUUCUGCACCAUACUGAUCAAAGAAUCUUUGACUUCAAAGUUGUUGUUCUGCACAAGAGGUGGCCGGAUUCCUGCUCGGUCAUUCUCACCAACAAAGACUGGUGGUGGCUGAUGACGUUUGGGUGGGUUUGGGUGGGGCUGUGGUGGAUUAACCUGAGGUUGGUCUUGGUGCUGGGUACCCUGAGCUUGUCCCUGAUGGACCGGAGCUUGUUGAACCUGAAUUCCAAUCCCAUUACCAGCUCUUUGACCGUGAUCAGCUUCUUGAGCCUGAUGCUCAUUCCCAACUUGCUGAUCCAUUCCUAACCUUUCCAAGUGAACAACUCUUUCUCUUUGUCUUCUUGCUUGGCUUCUUGUGAUCAUAAACCUGAAAACAAAGACAGAACUUGAAAGGUGAUCAGUAAAACAAAAGAAACUUGAUCUCAAAAACUAUAUCAGAAACUAAUGCUAACAAUGCCCACACAAUAUGGCAACGGCGCCAAUUGAUAACUAAGGUUUUCAAGGCCUUAAUAAGGGUUAUCAAUCCCUUAGCUGUUGCAGCAUAAAGGGUAUAAAUCCAUAAGUGUGGUUGCCAGACACUAGUUUAUGUAAUAAUUUCUUAAGUCAAGUGAUCAAAGAUGAGUUUUGGUGUGAAAAAAGUAACAAGAAAGCAUAAAACAAGGAACAAGAAAAGCAAUGAUUAAUGAACUAAACAAGGCAACAAAACAAGAUGAUGGUGCUUAAGCAAAUGAUGGAAGAUAAGCCUCUAGGUGUGAUCAUUGAUUAGGGUGCUUUCAUUCCAAACUAAUGAUGCUAAACAACAAUGCAACACUUGCUACUCUUUAGUCUAGUCUUCUUAAUCAGAUUAAUCCACUCUCAUGACAGAAAUCUCUUUGAAAAUCACUUAAUCAAGUCUAACAACCAUUAGAGAUAACCAAGCAAUCAACAAGCAUAAUGUUCCAAGCCUAAUUAGUGACCAAACAAUCUUUGACAAAGAAAGACUGAAUCUUAUACAGAAAGACAUAGCAAGCAAUUACAUGAUCUCAAAACCAAUUAACUUAGAACUCUAAACUAGAUUAAUCCUCUCAUGAAGGCAUUAACCUCUACACUAAUCCAUUUUGAAACCAAAUUCUCAUUUGUGAAAUAUGAAUCAAUGAGCAUUAAGAAACAGUUCUAAUAUGUCAUUCAUGCAUUUAACAAACAUCAUCAUGGCAUUAAUGCAUAAACCCUUAGUUAGCUUUCAUUCAGGCAUUUCAUCAAACACUUUUGUUGCAUGAAAAACCCAAAUUCUAGACCCAAGUGAUGUGCAAGGAUCUAGCAUUAGGAUCAGCUAACUAAGGAAAGGAGAAGAGAAUCUAAGCUUAAAUAUUCAUUAAUCUACAUCUAAGCACCCUAAUCUACACACCUAGAAGCUUAAAAGAGAGACUACUCACUAAUCAUGAUGAACACACCAUUUCCUUUGCAAGAGGUGAUGUUGAUCAUGAUUAGAAGUUAAGAUGAGAUGAUGCAAUGAUAAGAAAAAGCUUUUAGAUGAUUAAAUCUGCAAGAUGUCUCUUUAUCAAAAACGUUUUUACACUGAAAAGGAAAGAAAACAAGAGAGAAACUAAGAGAGAAGAUAACCUCUAGGGUUUUUCUCCCAAAAAACUAUUUAUAUUAAGGGUCUUGGACCGGGUCAGCCCAGGACAAACUUGGUACUGACCCGGCUCAGUUGGGUCUGGUGGCUGGUGUGCGAGAUGGUCACGUCCAUGGCUGACCCGCACACCCAUCUCGCACCAAAAGAAGUUCAAGACUCCUAGAUGGUCAAGUCCUUUCUCAGCCGCACAUCCAUCUAGCACUUCAUCUUGCAUGUUCUUGUGCGUGCUCAGUUCAGCUCCUUCCCCACUCGCAAGACCAGGUCGCACACUCCAGAAUGUAUAUGUGCGAGAUGGUCACUUCCUUGUCCAAGUCGCAUGCCCAAGUCGGUGUAAUUUGCGAACACAUGUGCUACAUGGUUCCACUUCAUGUCCAACUCGCAGGCUUAUCUCGCACAGCAUUGUGGACUUACUCAAAUUUGAUUCUGGAAGUCUUUACCUUGCUCAGAGUCUCCUUACACUCAUCUCUAAAGUCUCAACUUGUUUCCAGAGCGUUGAACAUUCAUGGGUGCGAGUUAAUCAACUCGCAGUACCGUAUCGCACAACCUAAGCCUUCUUGGACCACUUUACAUUCAGGGGAGAGUAACUUCCAGGAUAUGGAUCCAAAUGGCAUGAUUUCAACUGAAUUGGAAAGAAAACUCAAAUAUCUCAAACUUUGGAGAAGGAAACCUCAGCGCUUGGGAAGUGUAAGGUUCCCCGGAGGGCUCAUCUUUGCAGUACAUUGACACGGUCAGAAAGACGCUUCUAGACAUGAGUCCAUUCCGGAAACGUGGCUCCAAAUUGAAUGAUCUAAAACGUUAUGCAAAGACUCAAAUAUCUCAAAUUGAUGACGGACCUGUAGACUGAAUCGGUCUGGAAGCGCAUCUUCCUUCGCAAUCUUCGGAGCUCAUUGGGUCGGUCCUGAAACUGUCGCGAGACAUGUGUAUCUUCUGGUGAGCUUAACUCUCAUUUCACGACUCUAAAUCCAAUGAUUCGACCUGUUCUGGGACCGUGACUCGAUCAUCUCCAACUUUGGUGAGGGUUCGGGUUCAGGUGACGUCAGCAAGGGCUCCGUUCCACCGGUUCUUUGAUGCGCGUUGCCUUGGUCCUUUAUCCGCUCCGAGACAUGUACUGCUUCUUAUCGCCGUAACUUAUAGCUCAAAACUGCAAAUAGGACGAUCUAAAGUGUUAUGGAAACUAGACUUAACGCUGUGGAUUCUUUACAAAGACUCCGAAGGCUGAAUCUUGGUGAAAGUCCUCCUUCUCAGGUGAUCAAGUUUAGGGAUUGUCGGCUCCAUAACACUUGUCCGAGUCUGAUGCACAUAAGGUGAUGGUCUCUCCAUGGCUUUUGUCGCAAUUGCUCCCAAUUAGCUCCAAAUGACCUGUAAACACUCCAAAAGUGCAAAACUCUCUAGGACCUAAUGAAAUUCCUAACUAAAGACAAAAGCAAAGACAAAUAUAUGUAAAACUACCUAAAUGUAUGCAUGAGACUCAAUAUUUGGACAAAAAUGCAAUCCUAAACAUGAAAAAAUAUGUGUAUAUCAAACUGGAGUCACGGACGUAUGAAUACGCCACUGUCGUGAUCAUAGACAACUAUCUCUCUCAACCCUGACCAGUGGGUUUCCACUUUGGCCCUGGAAAAGAAGAGUUGCAUUAUGUUUAAGACUCAUCAGCAUUCACAAAUCGCCCAUAGGUAGGUUUCCACUCCUAUGUUUGUUUUGCUCUCCCAAACUAGAUCUGACACCGGAUGAACACUUUCGUGUCACCUAGAAUCUAGAUCAGAUUGUACUUCAUGACACUACUCUGACGCAUUAAAAGUAGAUUCAGAAGAAAAAGUUCUAAGAUUCGGCUUCAAUAGCUCAUGGAAUCCUCAUCGAACAUAUAUAUCCUCAUCGAAAAUCUCUUAGACUCAACAAUAAAACUACUCAGACAUGAUAAACGAAAUCAAAAACAUAGUAUUAAAACGUAGUACAGAAAUCGAAAUUGAAAAAGAAAGAACAAGGGUUCAAGAGAUGGAUCUCUCUCUCCCUAAAAGCUAAAGUAAAAACAAUAAGCAAAUAAGCUGCUGUAAAAGGUGACGAUGAUUAGGGUUCCUAAAACAUGUAUUUAUAGUGCUUAAGACAUCUCUGGGUGUCACUUAGGGUUUCUCCAAAUGAGUAAAUCAUUUUGGGCUUCAGAAAUGGGCUUUCGGGUUCGGAGUUAGCUGGCCGCGGUCGGGGAGCUUGUGACCGCGGGGAAUGGCCUGUUGGCCGCGGGUGGAAACGCUUGCCAGCUGGUUUACUGGACAUCUUGCUCUUCGAGUAUCUUUGGAUUGAACCGUUGGAUUGCCAAGCUGUAAAGUGUGCUGGAAAGCUGAUACUUCCAUCUUUAAGAUCUCCAAAUUUGAGCUGGAUCAGAACGUGAGAAGGCCUUCAAUCGGGGGUGAACUUCUGACAGUUUGACUCUGAGCUGAAAUCUGGUCUUCUAUCCAUUUUGUUAAGCUUUUCCCUAAGUUUCCUGAAAAGAGUCUUGGAACUACAAAUACUAGAAAAACGUAAUAAAAGUACUUGAAAGCAAUUAAAAACAUAUAAAAAGUAUUUCAAAACGAUCCAUAAAAGUGGUCAAAAUACGGUGUUAUCAGCUUUCUUUCUUGUCACACGAAAGCACUUCUUUCAAUCAUGAAAGAGAUCAAAAACUUGCUCAAAUAUCAUUUUAGGUGUGGUACUACAAGACCAACUAUGUAUGAGCAUUUUGUAUGUAAAAGCAUACAAGGAUCUUUGAGACAAUAUUUAUUUCUCUAGUUUACAAUUUUGAGAACCUCAAGACAAACUUGUCAUUCUAAAGUUUCUUCUUCCAAAUUUCGACUUCCAAUAACUCUUCAAGAGUUUUGACUAUGUCCAAACCAAAGAUUCCAUUGAUCCAUAAUCUUUUGAUACAUACACGUGGUUAUAUUGAUUAUCGUAUAAUAUCUACUGUAAGAGUAUACCUUGUGAAGCAUAUUUGCUUUAAUUCAAUCCAAUAGCCAGUGUUCUUGAGAACAUCAUUUUGAAAUCAUUAAUCAUUCUAAUUGCUUCUAGCAAUUUGAUUUCAUUUUAGAACUAAAUCAAGUCUUUCUUUCAUUCUUAGACUGAUAAAGGAUCUGUAAAAUGGUUGCAUCCACCACAAGAAAAUAUAUAUUUUCAUGUAUCACUUUCAGUCAUCUUUCGUAUAAAGAUCCACUUAUAUCUCACAAGUUUUACACUUUCAAGUGUACGGACUACUGGUCCAAAUCUUUCUCUACAAGAAAUUUAACUUUUUCCCAAACGGCAUUUACCAUGAUUGGCCAAUCAUCGCUUUACGCGUUUUUCAAUACAUCUUUUGUACCGCGGUUUAUGAUCUUCAUUUCACAUCAUCAACUGCUUUAUUACAUGCAAAAUAUUAUUGACGUUGAUUUGCUUUUGAUUCCAUUCAUGACUCAAUUAGUUGAAAUCUCUUAUCAUUACUAAGUACCUAGAUUUCUUUAUUUCUCAUGUCUAUAUCUAUUCUAGAGAAUCCUUCCUCGACUUUGCCAUUUUAUAUUAUGCUCAUUUUUCUUUUCGAAGAUUCUUAUCUUUGGAAUCAGUAGGUCUAUCAUGCUUCAUGCGAUCUUUAGCCCUUAUAGCAGUUGAUAUUAUCCCCCUGAGACAUCAAUAUUAAUUGGAGCACAGCUGGUAUAACUUAAUCAGGGUCAGGUAAUGCUUUUAACAUCAAAUUUGCUUAACUUUGCAAAUAAAUUAUCUUUCAACUUUUUUAGUGCACAUUCUUUCUGAGGAUCAAGAUAAUUUCUUUCACUGAUUUUCCAGCUGUUUAUUUUCUCCCCCUUCCUUAGUCGUUGGAAAGACUGAGUCACUAAAAUUACAGUCUGUUAUUCUAAUCUUAUCCCUUAUUUGAUGGCUUAAUACAUUUAAUCAUCAAGGGAAAUUCAUAUCCAACAUAUAUUCCUCUUUUGAGGUCCCAUCUUAGAUCAAUGUGGUAGAGCAACAUUAUCCAAAACUUUUAGAUGGGAAACAUCUGGUUUCUGACCAAAACCAACCAUAAGGAGAACUCAAAAUUAUUCGUUCGCUUAAUGCGAAUCAAUGUGGUUUCACUCUUAAUCAAUUAACGAAAUAGUUUCACAAAGAUACAUAGUGGGUGAUCAAUCCAAAAUAUCUCUUUGUGUAUGUACCAGAAAAUUAACAUAUCCAAAUUUAUUGGAGAGUGAAAAUUAAACACAUUAGAAUUUUCUGGAUCCUUUUUGCAUUGUUAUUUAACUGGAAUGACUUAACCAGUUUUGCCAAAACAGUGAGAUUUUCAGUAAAUUUCUUGUUUACUAGACUCAUUUAUAUCUCACAUACUAGUGUAGUACAAUUCAAUAGAGAAAACAAGUAGUUUUUCUAAAUUGAUUUUACUGCCUUGGAUAAUACUCAUGAUGUGAAGAUGUUAACAUUUUCUUCAGUCAUUGUCUCAAUUUGGAUAUUUUUUACACAUGAUUUAUCGAACAUGAGUGUGAACAUGAUCUUCUGGAUGUUCCACUUUCUAUGAAUUGUGGGAUUCUGCAAUUAAGGUUAUAACGUGCUGAUAACAUAUUGUAAAUCAGUUAUCGAGAGAGAGAGCAAAUUGGUGUUUCUUAUUCCAGAGAUAAUGAGGGGUAUAUAUAGUAUUACAAAGACCCAACUAUUACUCUAAGUUUCUGAUGUGGGACAGAUACAAUAUUAGUAAUGGACCUUAUAAUGGGCAUCCAUAUACUAAUAUUCAUAACAAUAUAUAUAUAUAUAUAUAUAUAUUGAAAUAAAUAUAUAUUCAAAAUUUCACAAUAUUUUCUUUUAUUAUAAUUUAUUAUAUUUUAUUAUAAUAUAUAUCCAAACAAAAGUUGAAUUUUUUUUUUUAAUUUAUAAAUAGUUAGAUACGAGAAAAUUAAAUUUUUGUAAGAGUUUGUGGACUAGGCAUAAAAACUAAAAUCAUUAAACGAUACAAAUUAAAGUUAAGUGUUCAGAAAUAUAUAUUUUUCUGGGUCAGUCAGAACAAAAAUUUGAUUCAGUUCUAAAUAGAUUACGUAAACGGAUUAGUUUGGUUUGACAUCUCUAUCUAUAAUCAAUAGCUAGUUACAUAAUAAAAUUAGAGUAAAAAAAAGUUUUUUUAAAACUUUAAACAUUUUUUCUUUAAAAAAUCUCACAAGCUAGCUAUAGCGCAGUAUAAAUCCUACUCUAUAUAGUAGAAACUUUAUAAAUUAAUAUUUGAUAAAUUAAUAAACUCUAUUAAUUAAUAAAUUUCUUUAGUCCUAAAUUAAUAUUUUGAACUAAUUAAUCUCUUUAUAAAUUAAUAACUCUCUAAAAUUAAUAAUAUAUAAGAGUUCCACUGUUAUUAAGUUAUUACUGUACUAUUAUUUAAGGAUUCAUUUACAUAAAUGAACAUUUAUUUGUAAGAAAGUACAUAAUCAUUUACAGUAAAAACUCUAUAAAUUACUAACAUUGGGAUUUUUAUAUUAUAUAAAUUUAGAGAGUUAUUAAUUUAUAAAGAAAUUAAUUAGCUCUAAAUAUUAAUUUGAGACUAAAGAAAUUUAUUAAUUAAUUGAGUUUAUUAAUUUAGUGAAUAUUAAUUUAUAGAGUUUUUUCUGUACAUAAAUGAGCCUUUAUUUGUAAUAUUAAUUAUUUACAUAAAUGAACUUUUAUUUGUAAAAUAUUACAUAAAUAAACUUUGUAAAUAUAGAAAAUUUUAAUUAAAUAUAAAGAUAGUUAGUGGAUAGUUAAUGAAUAAAUAAAUUUAAAACCUUAGAAAACUCAAUUAAAUAUUUGUAUCAAAAAAUUAUGGAGCUUAGUAAAAUUAGUAUAUGUAACACUACUCUAUUUGUAUGUAUAGUGGGCCUUAAAAAAAUUAGCACAUUACACCUUAAAAAUCGUGUGUAUCUUAUUAAAUAUGUCAAUAAAUAUGUUAAUGCCUAUUAUUGGAAAUAAGAUUACAAAAAUUAUUACAAAGGAUCUUGAAGGACCAGAUCAAGCUUCAGCUUCCGGGUUGGUCUGAUCGUCCUUCGGAGACGUCACUACAUUCUUUCUUUCCACAAUCAAUGCGUCGGUAGCUAUUGACGCAAACCUUUCACCUUUUUCUCCUCGGCAUCGAGGGUCGUAGGCUCGUCAACCUUGCACAUCGAGGGUCGUAGGCUCGUCAACCUUGGCAUACUUAGCCUCAAGUAGCUCUUCGAUCUUCUUCUCCACGGACUUGACUUUCUCUUGAAGCUUGACGAUCGCCUCGUCUUUUGCUGCCUUAUGCGCCCUUUUUACCGCAACAUCAAACAUCGCCUCCUUUUCAGCAAGGUGUUUGACCUUUUGCUCCUCGAGCGUGACCGGGAGAUUGAAAGUUCGGUCCAGCUCAGUCUUAAGCAGCUUCUUCUGUCCCUCGACGGCCUUCACCCGAGCCUCGGCCCUGUCGAUCUCCUCCAAAUGCCUCCUUGUCAUCUCGUCUACACGACGUUUCUCUUUGUGCGCCUCAGAUCUAUAGUCAGCUACGAGAUUGGUGAUGGAUGCUAGAAACUGAAAUAUAAAAAGAUCAUGAGUACAAAAAAAAAACCGAACUGAUACUUGAAGAUAUCUUCUCCAUUCUUACCUUUUUACAGCGCAGCGACAUGUUUAAAAAAGAAUUUGACUGUGUCAAGACCCCUAGAGGAGGAAAACGAGUAUUCGAGCUCGCCACAGAUGAAACAAGAAGAGCUGCAGCAUUUGCGUCAUCGACGACCGAAGUAACAGUAGGCGGUGUGGAAGGAGCCUCAGUCCGCCACUUUUUAGUCGUUUCCUUGGCAGGGCCCUUUUCUUUGUAUCCAGCAGCGGCACAACGUUUUUGGCUCGCCGAAUCCUUGUGUUUCGCCAAGGACGAAUCAGAGGGCGUCGCCUCAUGUGGCAGUGCCAAGAUCAGCCUCUCCAAACAGGAAUCAUUGGGAGGAUUCUCAUUCAAAUUUUUGACUACCUCGGGGGCAUUUUCCCCCAGGAGCGACUCGGACAUGGUUGUUCCUAAACCCGGUUGUGUCUCAGACAGCGCGAAUUCGCCAUGGCUCUUUCACUGGCAGUCACCUUGGGAGAAUGAACUAGAGUACGGCUCGUCUUGAGGUGAGAGGCAAGAGGUUCGGCAUCACGCUUUGAGGCUUCUUGAGCUUCUAACUAUUUCUUUCUAAGAAGCGAGAGUUUCAUUAUCUUUCCGUACGUAGAUUACGAAGAACGUGUAUCCAAACCGAUGAAAAAACUAAAAAGUGCAGCUCGGGCUCUUUCAAUUUGGCGAAGCAAGAAAUGCCUUGUCCAAUGUGUUCUUCUCGCAGCUAAUUCUUAGACCACUUCUAAGAAACCGUCUGGGAUUGGCGGGAAUAUAUGCCUAACUGCAAAAGGAAAACAAGAGGUUUGCUGUUAAAAUCUAUGCGAUAAAAACAAGAAUCGAACCUAAGAGCUUUGGAUUGGCUUCCGAGGGUUUCUCAGUCAGUUUUGACCAAAUCAAGGAAGUCACACCCAAUGGAUGCCUCGUUAACCAAGACAUAGAAGAACUUCUCUUCCCAAAAACUAUUCUUGCUGGGAAAGCCUCGGAUGAACCUCCGAUUUUUCUAGUUAAAGAUAUAGUAUCAUGUCAUGUCUCUGCUUCGGCGAAUCUCGAGAAGCUUCAGCAAGUGAUUGACGUCCACCUACACAUCACAUUCAUAACUCCAAACAAAAAUCCCGAUCAGGUGACGGAGUCCCCGGGGCAUAAAUUAUCCAAUAGAGAGACUCAGCUCCCAAAGAAACCGCAGAAUCGGCACAGAGAUCGGGAACCAGAUAUAGCAUAGUUCAAAGAAACUCUCGUACAAGAUAAAAUGGUUCGAAGGGGUUUAUUCACCCGAGCAGACGGCACAGAAACUAAGAACUCUACCGUCUCAGAAAUUCCAAAGAUAUGCCUCAACACCUGCAAUGUCUCAGGCUUCGAAAGGGUCGAGCCGGGAGGGUCCGGUUCUUUUCCAAUUAUAUCGUUUUCUUGAAGGUCCCGCCUCGAGAUUAGACAACAUACACUCCAAAUCUCGCCUCGCUUCAAACGGAUAAAAAUUCCAAUCUUCUUCUUUGGGUUUGACUUCGGCGGACUCAUCAAUGUGACUCGCCACCUCGGCGACUUGAAAGGGAGAAGAAUCCUCGAAAGGACUUUAAAGCACCGAGCCGAUCGCUUCGGUCUCUAUAUGAGACGAAGAAAUUUCACUUUCGCCUCGGAGGCUGUCUGAACCAGCCGAACAGCUCGCGUUGUCAUCUCCUUCACUUUCAGCUAAAUUAUAAAGCGAAUUGGCUGAAUGAGUCGUAUCAGAAGACAUGGCGAACGUUGAAGAAUGUAGAAACAAAUCGAAACAUCUGAAGAAGCGGAAGAGAAGAUCUAUUCCAAAUCUGGGUUGAGAACUUACAAAAAUCUUCAAAGAUUGAUAAAAAAUUCCUAAAAAUGAAUCAAAAUCUUUGAAGAUGGAUCAGAAAACUCAAAGGCUCACUGGAACAUCUUGAAUGACAUAGUUGUUGGACGAAGGAACCCUAGCCGGAGCAAAAUAAAAACACUAAAAAAAAAAGAGAGAGAAAAGAACUUUACCUAAGGUAAAAUUUGUGGGAAAGUAAAUUGUGAGGGGUAAAGGCAACAGUUUGACUAUAUAUAAAAGUUUGAAAGCGCGUGAGGUCUGUGUAAACGCGUGGGAUUCACCUAUACUUUGGGAAAUAGCAAAAAUUUAUGGGUCCUAGGGUAAUAAAGGCCAUGCGCGUGGAAUCUGAAUCGACAAAUUUCAUGAUCCUAGCAAGAUACUUGCCUUCAUCAAGACGAGCCGUAAUCAUAACCGAAGUGAAAAAAUUGCUCUUAUUAAGAUGCCUCGUCGAGUGUCUGCAUCGGAAAAACUCUCUCUUGCGAAACGCCUCGGCAAACUUUAUCUUGUGAAACGACUCAGGAAACUCUCUCUUGUGAAACGCUUUUGCAAAAUUUCUCCUCGCAAAACGCCUCGGCAAACAUCUGCCUCCGGAAACUUUCUCUUUCGCAAAAUACUUCGGCGAGCAUUUGCCUCGAUAAAAUCUUCCCCUAGAAAUUGACUCAGCAAAGAUUUGCCUUGACGACAUCAUAACUUUUCUUGAAAACGCCUUGGCAAGAAUUCAUCCCUAUAUCAUUCUCUUGGAGACUCCACUCCCAACACUUUGCUUCAAAACUGCAUUUCGACGCCGCAUGCCUCAGCUCGGCAAAUUCUCAGACAUUCGGCCACCAGGUUCAUAUUAGCCUGCCGAACUAACAACUUAACUUAGUUAUUCUUGUGACUCAGAAUAUACCGUCCACGCGAUCCCAUACCUUGUCUACCGUCCAGAUUCCUCGAAUUAUCCCAAACAUCUGCUCAUUGCUUAGUCACUCAACCAAGCAUCCCCACAUAACUAAGUAAUGACGAGAUAACCAGAACUCUCAUCAUGAUCCAAACUUGAUCAACACGCACUAGCAGAUUCGUAAAGAUUCUCACACAUCUCUUUGGUACCAAGACACUCAACCAACCAAUCCAACUUGUAUAAGUAAACGUAGAGAAAGGCACCAAGCCUCGAGCCAUCGCUCCAGAUCCACCAUCAGAUUCUACGUAUCAGCUUACGUCUUACCCAAACUGUAACUGCUUGACAGUUACUCAGAUUCCCCCUGAAUUCCCCACAGACAGAGUCAUAGAUUCCUUGUGAAUCCCCACAGACACCACACAAAUUCACCAUGAUUCUUUGCAGAUAAACAACACAUAUACUCCGCGAAUCAUCGCGAACAGACUACAUCAAAACUGCCGUAAAUCUUCUCACAUUCCCGCACAAACCCAGACACCUCUCGCGCAUCCCUCGCGCACCACUCGCACACCACUAGCGCAUCACUUGUAUCUCACUUAUACAUCGCUCGCACGAUGCUCCUGAAUGCAUGUGCAUCGCUCGCACUUUAAUUGGGCGUUACUCGCACUUCUCACCGUGUAACACUCCAUGUAAUGAUCUAAUCGCACAGACUCGGUUCUCCGAUCACAAAAACUCGGUAGCAGAAUUUACAGAAAUACUCGCAUAAAACAUACGUCAUGGCUCCACACAGUUGCCUCCAAAGAUUCACAGACAUUCACCAUUGAUCGUACCAUGAUCUCGGCCAGCACCAGAAUCACAUUCCUAGUCUUCCAGACACUUUUACUGUAGAUCAUAAUCUCGAUCAACGUACAAGGUCUUGCGUAGACUCGCCGACGAAUCCGGAAAUGCUCUCCUAUAACCACACAGAUCCGCGUAACCGCACACACCAUCUGUCCGAACAGACUACCGUCAGUGCACACAUUCACUGGCGAAGCCACGACGCUGAUUUUAGAUCUCUCCUAUUAUUUCUCCCUAUGUUUCUUUUUUCCGCUAUAAUACCAGAGAUAACCACAUUAUCUUUUUCCUUUGGUGUUAUUACAGAUCCACACGUUGAAACCAUCUAAAAACUGUCCUGCGCACAUACUUUAGCGCUUGCACGCGUAUAGAAACCGAUCCACACACCUAGAAACUGUCUGCGCAAUUUUCCCACGAAGGCAAUAGUCGUGCCCAUGCAUUUCAUCGUGUGCCUCAAAACAGAUAACCGUUCCCUCGCGUUUUCCUGCACGUGGACUGCCCUGCUCCUAACAGCAGCUCACCAACCUGUCCGAAUCCGACAAGUCCGAAAAUUAUGGACUGUCCGAAUAACCAUCAAACCAGUUCCAAAAAUCACGGACGAGCUAACAUAAGCUCAAAAAUCACCUGGACUUUAUCUUUCGUUUGCCUUGAAACAUUUCCAUCCCAUCAGCUACGAAAUACAAAACAUGGGUGUUACAAUUUUUCUCCACUUAGAAUGAAUUUGUCCUUGAAUUCAACGGUUGUUGGAACCUUUUUCUACCCAACUUCACGAAGUAUCGGAACCAAUUCCACAAACUUCACCAUAUAACUCAGUAACUUUAUACUUCAGAUUUAUUCAACUCACUCUCUGUCUCACAGGACCAGAAUAUUUUUCCCUAAUAAUUAAGCGUAGUAGUCCUUAAUUCCAAGGAAUCUCUUGGAUAUCGAACAAUCAUUGGCAAGUACACCUCACUUCCAAUGGCCUGUCUCGAAUUACCUCAAUUCUCGGCAACUAAACUCACUACCUCAAUUGAGUUACGCCCACCAUUUCCCGAUCACAGUCUCUCGCGUAAUUGAUCUCGAUCUUGCCCUUGCCGCUCUUGGAUUCAUUACCUAUACCUUAUGUUUGAUCACAGACUCAUUUCCCGACCAUCUCCUGGAUUUUCAAGUCCCACCGGACAUUUGUGCCUCUUAUAUUUUUUCCGGGUAACACGUAAACCCUUACAAACAUUCACGGAUCUCUCUGAGCCUCCACGACUUUACUGAAUUACCUUUGGUCAUCCCCAACCCUUAUAAGCAUUUUUGAAUCACUCAUGAUCCCUGCAAACAUUCAUAGAUCAAUUCUGAUCCUUCACAGAAACUUCACGGAUCUUUCCUGAUCCUCCUAAAAACAUUAUGGAUUCUCACGAUCUUUACAGAUUUUUCAGAUCCUCAGAGAUUCGGCUGAGGACACACUUGGUCCCCAUUGAAUUCUUCACAAUACACAUUGGUGGACACACUACUUCCCACAGAUGUUUCCACAGACUUCCCUUGGUGAACACUCGGGUUCCCAUAGACAUUUUCAUGGACACUCCCACACAGACACUCUUUGGUGAUACUCCCUAGUAAACUUAGUCCUCACAACGCAACUCUCAACGCAUUGCGUUAGUUUACAUGGACAGUUCAUCUUGGCCAAACAAGAUCGUCCUAGCAAACUCCAAGAGUUCCCAAAGAUGCGAUCACAAAACACUCGUCAAGCAUGAUUACCCAUAGUUACCAAGCAGCUCGUAACUAGACAAACCAUAGCGAGAACCCUGACCCCCAAGCGCAUGUCCAAGCCCGACACUCAAGUAAAACGAAUCAACCACCAAGACUAAGCCUGAUGUGAUCAUGGAAGCAACAAGAAAUAUCCACAUAAUGUGUGGCUUCUUUGUAUAAGAUCCAUUAAGACUUCAAGCCCAUGAAAAAUUUCGACCAGGCCUUUUUACAGGAGGAGUGAAGUGGAUCUUAACUUGAUUAAAAGCCUAAAAUUAAAAGAGAAGACGUAGGUCCAGCAAGGAUAAACCUCAACCCAAAGGAAUAGAAAAAGUCACAGCUAAACAAUUUAUUGUUUCUGCUAGUAGGAGAUGUUUAAUGCUACUAGUUGUUUGCUGUUGGUUUCUUUUCAUUUCUUCUUAUUUAUAACCCUUGUAAGCCCAGCAAGAAAAAAGUCAAUCAACCCUUUAUUAUCUUCUUCUUCUUUGAGCAUGAUUCAUUCAAACUUUUUGUUGGUGUGUAAUGUCCAGCAAGCAACUCGAUUUCUUUGGUGUGUAAUAUAUAGAGGAUCGACGGUGAAUCAGAAGCCAUUUUGCAACUUCUGUGUGACCUUUCAACCCCCAUCCUUUGUUCAGUGAGCUUCACAGCCAUUAAGGCAAAGCUGAUCCUUUUUUUACUAGCCUUACUAAGUGUCGAUGUUUGGGAAGACCUCCUCAAGAACCAAUCUGGUGGAAACCAAGGAGUCGCAAAGGCAAGUGAAUGACCUUAUGGAGAAAGGGCAUAUCAGAGGGAGCAUGAGCCCUUGUGUCCUUUUCGUGUUGUUGGUACUUAAGAAAGACAGUAGCUGGCGAAUGUACAUUGAUUGUAGAGGAAUCAACAAUAUCACAGUUAUGUACCGACAUCCCAUUCCUAGAUUACAUGAUAUGCUUAAUGAAUUGCAUGAUUCUAGCAUCUUUCCUAAAAUUGAUCUUAAGAGUGGAUAUCAUCAGAUUACAAUGAAAGUAAGGGAUGAGUGGAAAACAACAUUUAAGACGAAGCAUAGUCUUUACAAGUGUUAGUUAAGCCAUUUGUACUAACAAAUGCACAUAGUACGUUCAUGAGGUUAAUGAAACAUGUACUUAGAGAUUUUAUAGUUGUUUUGUAGUAGUCUACUUUGAUGACAUUCUGAUUUAUAUCAAGAACCUAGAAAAGCAUGUUAGUCACUUGAAAUAUGUUCUAGAUGUGCUUAGGAAAGAAAAGCUAUUUGCUAAUUUUUAAAAUGCACGUUUUGUACAAACAAUUUUGUCUUCCUAGGUUUUUUGUAAGUGCGAAUGGAAUCAAGGUCGACAAAGAAAAGGUCAAGGCUAUUAAAGAUUGGCCGAGUCCCAAACAGUUUGGUGAGGUGAGGAGCUUCCACGGCCUAGUCGGGUUUUAUAGACACUUUGUUAAAGAUUUUAGUACCCUGGUUGCACCUCUAACUGAAGUUGUCAAGAAAGACAUGAGAUUCGAUUAGGGAGAAGGACAAGAAGAGGUGUUUCAAACCUUGAAAAAUAAGCUAAUCAACGCACCUCUAUCAGUCUUACCUGAUUUUUUGAAAACCUUUGAAAUAGAGUGUGAUGCAUCUGCUAUAGGAAUUGGAUCUGUUUUGAUGAAGGAUAAUAAGCCCAUUGCAUACUUUAAUGAAAAACGCGGAGGAGCUACUCUAAACUACCUAAUGUAUGACAAGGAGCUGUAUGCUUUAGUCCGGGCUUUGCAACAUGGCAACAUUACUUAUGGUUUAAGGAGUUUUUCAUUCAUACUGAUCAUGAGUCUCUCAAGCAUCUAAAAGGACAACAAAAUCUCAUCAAAAAACAUGCCAGGUGGGUCAAAUUCACUGAGACAUUUCCCAAUGUCAUCAAGUAUAAACAAGGUAAGGAAAAUGUAGUUGUUGAUGCAUUUUCUUAUAGGUAGGCCUUGCUCUCUAUUCUUGAUGCUAAGUUUUCGGUUUUGAACAGCGUAAACAAAUAUAUGUAUCUGAUUCUGACUUUAAAGAUGUAUAUUAAUUUUAUGAAAAGUUUGCUAAGGAUAAUAAUAUGGAUCUCUCUUUUAUUACAAUCGCUUGUGCAUGCCUUAUCGUUCUAAUCGAAACUUGCUUGUUAGAGAAGCUCAAAGGGGUGAACUAAUGAGACACCUUGGAAUUAUUAAGACCCUUAAAGUAAUUCAAGAUCACUUCCUGGCCACAGAUGAAGAGGCACAUGGAGAGGAUAUGUCAAAGAUGUGCUACAUGCAAACAUGCAAAGUCUAAAGUUCAACCUCACAGUUUGUAUACUCUAUUACCUAUUCCUAAUCAUCCUUGAACUGAGAUCUCUAUUGAUUUUGUUCUUGGACUAGGAUAAGUAAGGAUUCUAUCUUCGUAGUGGUAUAUAGAUUUUCUAAAAUGGCACAUUUCAUACCAUGUAACAAAACCGAUGAUGCAUCACAUGUAGCUAAUCUGUUCUUCAAGGAGAUUGUCUAUUUGCAUGGCAUGCAAAGGACCAUUGUGACUGAUAGAGAUACAAAGUUUUUAAGUUUCUUUUGGAAAGCAUUGUGGUCUAACCAAGGAACUAAGAUUUUUAUUUUCUACUACAUGUCAUCUGCAUAAUGAUGGGCAAACAGAAGUGGUUUAAGGAACCUUGUCUACAUUGUAGCGUGCAUUAAUUGAGAAGAACCUUAAUUCUUGAGAAGAUUGCUUACCUCAUGUAGAAUUUGCAUAUAACAAUUUUGUUCACUCUGCUUCGAAGUUUUCUCCAAUACAGAUUAUUUAUGGUUUUAACCUUUCAUCUUCUUUGGAUCUAGCCCCUUGGCCUCUAAGUGAAAAGGUAAAUUUAGAUGGGUAAAAUAAGGCUGAGCUUGUUGAACAGAUCCAUGAGAAGGCUAAAAAAAACAAAGAAGAGAAGAUGAAGCAAUAUGUUAGACAAGCCAACAAGGGCCGCCGCAAGAUGAUCUUUAAGGUUGGAGAUCUCGUGUGGGUACGUUUGAGAAAAGAUAGGUUCCCAGUAGAACGAAUCUCUAAACACAUGCCUAGAAUUGAUGGUCCUUUCGAAGUCAUAAAAAUAAUCAGCGUUGAUGUACAAGGUAAAUAUAACAUGAGUCCGAGUUUUAAUGUUGCUGAUUUAGUUCUAUUUCUUGCAAAUGAUCCAGAUUCAACACAUGGUAUUUUCAAAUAUAUGGUAAGUAGUUGAUAUCUCAACAGAGCAAUGGAAAGACAAGAUCUCUUGAUGUAUUGGAUAUGGACGACCACAAGAGCAUUCCUCAAGAUCUAAAACCUCAACAAAUGCCAUAACUUCAAGCAUUGGCUUUAAGUCCAGCCCAAGCUCCAAAGAAUAAGCCAACCAUUGCAAAUUUUGACACUCCUUGUUGUCGUGGAAUGAGAUAUGGUUAGAUUGUUUCAAAACUCUAAGUUCUUGUGGUUAGGAAUGGAGAAUCCAUAUGACCAUUUGGACUCUUUUGAGAGGUUGUGUGACACAUUUAGGAUUGGAGGAGGGCCCCAAGAUAGUAUCAAGCUCAUCUUGUUCCCAUUUUCACUUGGAGAAAAUACAUGCGCAUGGGAGAUAUCACUACCAUCUCACUUAGUCAAGUCGUGGGAUAAUUGCAAGAGGAUGUUUCUUUUAAAGUUCUAUCCCAUACAAUGAACGGUCCAAACUAGUAGAAACAUCUUGAGCUUCAAAACAAGGCAUCUAUGUGACCUUUCAUGAGGCAUGGGACAGACUUAAAGGAUAUACUAGCGAUUGUCCUCAUCAUGGGUUCAACAAGAAGCUAUCCUUAGUAUAUUGUAUUGGGGAGUUGAUAGAGAGCAUAAAUGGACAUUGGAUGUAGCUAGCAAUGGGCGUUUUGCAAAUCUCACGAUAGCACAAGGACAACUACAUGUUGAGAAUUUGGCCAAGAGUAAUAAAAGAUACAAGGAUCAUGAUAUUGAAGCUUGUCAAGAUGAUCAAGGUGAGGUGGAGCUUUGUUUUCAGCAAGAGUUUGUUCCACAAGGCCAAGUAGGUUCUUCAAAGCCUAAAGAGAUGGAAUUGAACAAAUUUUUCCAACAAAUAGACAAGAUGAGAUUAAUACAAGAGUAAAGAGUUCUUACAAAGAUCUCCACACAAAGCAUGAAUUCAUGUCUUCUAAGGUCAAACACUUGGAGAAACAAGGUUCUAAAGAAAGUUCCCUCACUAGUGAACCCAUACUAAAGGGCAAGGAACUAAAGGAUUAUUGUAAUGCUAACUUCUCAAGUAAGGUGCAUUUGUUUGAUGAGAAUGAGGAAGCUAUAAUAGAGGUUGAGAGACUUCUCCAUGGCACCAAAGAUGAGAUUCACCACUUUGAGAUGAAGUAUGUGGGAUCUUGUGAAAUGAAGGAAAGAGGAUCAGCCUCUUGAAGCUUGUGAAAAAAAAAGAAAGAACCUGAAGUAUAGCCUGAUCUUGAGUUCAUUGAUGGUUAGAAAUUCUUUAGUGAUGAUGAGGAUUGAUUGGAACUUCAAUAUUCUACACCAUAAAGAAAGAAGUUUCUUGCAAAGUGGUCCAAUAGAGAGGUGGAGGUCCUAAAGCUAAGAAGAAACCGAGCAAGGCCAAUAAGGAAAAAAAAUUUCUUGACCAAUCUUCCACUAUCAUUCUCAUUCCAUUAACUCAUCAAGAUGGAGUGAUUGAGUAUAAGAUUCAGUGUAGAGGAAGGUCUAAGCCAUUUGCAAAGGUCAAAGCAAUUCUCACUCAAGAACUCAAGGACAAAGGUGAAAAUGGUAUUGAGGAGCUUAUGAGCAAGGCAAUGAGGCUUGAGUUCAAGGAAAUCCAGGGAGUUCCACUACUCUCUCUCUCUCAUUAAAAGGAAGGUAUGAAAAGUCAAAAUUAGUGACUUAAAACAAAGUGUACUUGGAAGACAGUCCCAUGUCUAUCAUUGUAUAUACUUUCUCUUAUUGCUUUCUAGUUAAAUGUUAUGUUUUGGGGAGUCUUGAUCUUUUUGUUGAUUGUGUGCAAGGGGAUUUGAUGGUCUAAGAUUUAACACGUGGUAGAGGAAAACCAAGGCCGUGCACAACUGAUCUGUGGUGAUGCUAAGAUCCUUUGAUGCAUAGACAUCACUCCUCCUCUCCAUUAAACACUCAAGGUAACACUUUAAGACUUAUGUAUAGCAUUUAGUCUCAUUUUCUUUAGAAUUUUGUUUUUCCUCUUUCUCAUGCUUCUAUUACACAAGAGACUCUGUAAUUUGAGUGUGGGGGAGGGAUUUAGUGUUAUAUAACCAUGUUUCUUUGUGUUCUUAUUUUAUAUUCAACAUUUUGAGUCUCAUGCAUUCAUUCAUUAUACAGAAAAGAUAAAAAUUGGUAAUUUUUAAAGUUUUUUAUCAAAAAAAGAAGCAUACAGAUGCAUUUGCAUACUUAGGAUUGAGUAUAGAAUGCAUUUCAUAUAGGUUUUCAUCAUGCAUUGGGAAUAAUGGUUGAUUUUUCCUUGUAGAAUAUCAUUUUACGAAUUUGGUUCAGUGUCCUAGUUAUUAGUUGUUGAUGCAUCUAAUUGAGUUUCAAAUCAAGGAUGAACCCUAUUUGGAUCUUGUGUUUGACUUUUCUUGUCUUAGUUGAAUCAUGUUGUGAUUAGUUCCAAUCCUACUUAAGUGAAAACCUUUAAUUUGUCAUCUUAAUUAUCAGGUUUAUGCAUUUCAUAGUGAAUUCAUGGAUACCAUAUACAUAUUUGGGCUAUCUUCAUCUUGUUACAACUCUUUGUUAGCUCAAAUAGCCAAUUCCCAUCAUUGGAAUGGUUAACAACACCUUAAACCAAUCCUCCUUUCAAGCCACGAUUAGUGAGUCCAUGUAAGGCCUUAUUUUCAAGUAGAGUUGGCAAAACGUGUUGGGUCUAGAGCGAUAAAGGUUUUACAUGUAGGUUCUAGUCCAUCAUCAAUGGCUAGAUUAGGUUAGGCUAUGGGUUGGGAAGUUGUGGUUUAUGAGAAAAAUUGAUGGAGUGUGGUGUGAAAGAGAAAGAUGGGAUUGAAGUAGGGGAAUGAAUCCAAAAGAAAAAAAAUUUUGAGUUAGCAAGUGUUAAAAAAAGCUAUAAGUAUAAUAGCUAGUCUCUCGAGUUAACAAAAAGUAAAGAAAAGAAAAAGAAAGAGACUAGAAGAGUAAAUAAAAGAAAAGAGUUAAGUGUGUAAAGAAAAAGAACCUCUCAAAGUGUUAUGUGCAAGAAGAGCAUUCCCUUAAGGCCUUAGAGAUAAGAAAACAACAAAGGUUGGUUUUUAUCAAGGUAAAAAUGCCUUUGAGAAAGGGUAGCUUAGGAGAAGAAACUUCAUGGCUAGGUUUUUAAAGCAAAUGGGGUAUUGAGUCGAUGUAGGUCUAUCUUUGUAUGCAUCCAUUGCUUUUUACCCUUAGCAUUUUGCUAAAGUCUACUUCUUCUUGAGUGAUCCCUAGCUUGGAGCAACCAGUUACUUGUAUUGGGAUCAUCUUAGUCUCAAGACCAUGUCCCUAGCCAAAUGAAUUCAUUUGUCUUGCAUGAACAUGAUUCACUUGAAAACCUUUAUGAAUUUUAAUGGGUUGGGACUAGGCAUGCUUGUCUAGGCUAAUACUUGAGCUUGAUGCAUUUAUUGAUGGAUAUGGCUAGUUUCUUUUAAGUAGACUCACUUGUUUGCAUCCUAGAACUAGUAAAUUUGGACAUUGAACUUUGAAUUCUUUUAUUGAUAUUUAUGGAUAUGAGUUCACCUUUCAAACCUCUUUAUCACCUUGUUCUUGUUUGUUUUCUUGAUGAAAAGCAAAGGAUAAGUGUGGGGGAGUUGUGGAUAAAAUUUAUCAUGUUUUAUCAUUCAUUUUAGUAUAGUUUUAUGUCUAGUCCAUUCAUUUGAAAGCAUUUCUUAAUAUUUUAAUGUUAAUUGAGUUUAGAUAGGAAUGCAUUAGGUCCAAGUGUGUCUUUGCAUGUUUUGGAUUCAUUCUAGGUACUUUUGGAGAUUUAGAGUGCAUUUGGGCUUGAGAACACUUGAAGAAAUGGUGAAAAAAAUAUGAAGAAUCAGCCAAAACGUGCUCUCGGCAAAUUUCCUUUCCGGAAAAAAGUUUCCAUGGCGAAAACUGCAUCAGGCAUGUACCGCUCGGCCAAAAACCCUUCGCAAAAACACCAGUAUAUGAUUCUCUCGGCCAAAUCUUACACCAGCCGAUGUAUCUAAAAGUUCAUCUGAAACAGGCCCUUUUUACUAUGACUCAGCUUCGACGAUCUUCAUGGAAGUUGAAGGCCAGAGAGUCAUCUUUCCAAUUAAGUUGGUCUCAUGACGUUUGGAGCCUUAGAACGAAAGUUACAGCCGUUGCCGAACACAUAUGUCCUAUCGGUCCGAUUCCGUGCACAAUUUUAUAGUUUGUCAAUUACAUACAAAAAAAUCAAAGUCCAAUAAAUCUAUUUACUGUACCUGCUCCACAAGGUAUAUAUGUACUUUAUCAAAAGUUUUAUUUCUAAAAUUGUAUAUUAUUCAUUUUUAAGGUGAUUUAAUUUUGUUUUGUUUUUAUUUUUUUAUCAAAUAUAAACGCUCAUAUAUAUGUGGUCCUAAUCUAGUUUAUAAUAAUCCUUUGUCAUAAAAUUAAAUCUUUUAAUAAUUUCUCUAAAUAUAUAAAUAAUUGGAAAAAUGUGUUAUUUAAUCUGAUGUACAGACCUUCAAAAUUAUUUAAUCUCAUUGUUAGGAGAAACCAAUAUUGUACACUGUUAAAACUGUAGAUAUUUUGGUAAAAAUUGCAGUAAACCCGAGACAAAGAGGCACGAACAAAGGAGUGAAAAAAAGGAGGGGACAUGUGAUGCGAUAUAGCGAUGGGUCAUCGAGGGAAUCUUGUAUUCUUAUGAUAAUUGCCAACCAUGCUUAUUUUGGGUCUUCUCUUCUUAUUGCAGAAGUAGCCCCCAUGUUCACGUGAUCCCUUCUUCCCAUUCUUGCUCUAUAUAUUCAUAUACCCUUUCUUAUAUUUCCUCCACGUACACUUCUCAACAUGGACUCAUCCAAACUCUCAUUGCUCUCUCUCUGUCUCCUCAUUUGCAUUAUCUGUUCUCCCCAACACUCACUCUCAUGCGGUUCCUGCAACCACCAGAAGGGCGGAUUACCCUCAAUUAAACCCCCUGUCACCAUUCCCAAGCUUCCUGUUCCUCCGGUUACUGUUCCUAAGGUACCCGUUCCUCCAGUAACUGUCCCUAAUCUACCCGUUCCUCCUGUAACUGUUCCAAAGCUACCUAUUCCUCCGGUGACCGUACCUAAACUUCCAGUUACCGUACCUAAACUCCCAGUUCCUCCGGUGACAGUCCCUAAGCUACCCAUUCCGCCAGUGGCCAUUCCAAAGGUACCCGUUCCUCCAGUUACUGUCCCAAAGGUACCUGUUCCUCCUGUGACUGUCCCUGAGCUUCCACUUCCUCCAGUGGGCGGGCUACCCACAUUGCCACUACCACCAUUACCAGGGACUAUCCCACCAGCCACAGGAGGGAAGGAUUGUCCUCCAACCCCGGGUAGCGAGAUGCCCCCAUCAGGCAGUGGGAAGGCCACAUGUCCAAUAGACACGCUUAAGUUGGGGGCGUGUGUGGACUUGU